Molecule: ribosomal RNA, 252 nt
Filed under: uncultured bacterium
Lineage: Bacteria
Description: partial 16S ribosomal RNA
Rfam family: Bacterial small subunit ribosomal RNA
Source: RNAcentral
UACAGGGGGUGCAAGCGUUGCUCGGAAUCAUUGGGCGUAAAGGGUGCGUAGGCGGUUUGUCGCGUCUGCCGUGAAAGUCCGGGGCUCAACUCCGGAUCUGCGGUGGGUACGGGCAGACUAGAGUGAUGUAGGGGAGACUGGAAUUCCUGGUGUAGCGGUGAAAUGCGCAGAUAUCAGGAGGAACACCGAUGGCGAAGGGAGGUCUCUGGGCAUUACUGACGCUGAGGAGCGAAAGCGUGGGGAGCGAACAGG